RNAcentral lists this ribosomal RNA (775 nucleotides) under uncultured Neocallimastigales. RNAcentral's name for it is "partial large subunit ribosomal RNA". It matches the Rfam family "Eukaryotic large subunit ribosomal RNA", at positions 18 to 645 of the family's 3401-position model. The record is from RNAcentral. Lineage: Eukaryota; Fungi; Neocallimastigomycota; Neocallimastigomycetes; Neocallimastigales.
UCAGACGAUGCGUCAUGCAUAUCAAUAAGCGGAGGAAAAGAAACUAACAAGGAUUCCCCUAGUAACGGCGAGUGAAGCGGGAAGAGCUCAAAUUUGAAAUCUUAAAGGGUUUCCCUUUACGAAUUGUAGUUUAAAGAAGUGUUUUCUGUUGAGGUUUUGGUAAAAGUUCUUUGGAAUAGGACAUCAUAGAGGGUGAGAAUCCCGUAUUUGACCGUUACUUUCUAGCUUUGUGAUACACUUUCAAAGAGUCGGAUUGUUUGGGAAUGCAGUCCAAAAUGGGUGGUAAAUUUCAUCUAAAGCUAAAUAUUGGCGAGAGACCGAUAGCGAACAAGUACCGUGAGGGAAAGAUGAAAAGAACUUUGAAAAGAGAGUUAAACAGUACGUGAAAUUGUCAAAAGGGAAGCGUUUGACACCAGUGUUGUUUUUCUGAAAAUCAAUUAAAGAACUGUUUAUGCUAAGUUGUUUAGACUUUAUCAGCUAACUGUUUAGUUUUGAGCUUUUCUUUAAUGCACUUUUCAGUUAACAAGUCAACAUCAAUUUCUUUUGCUGUAAAAAAGCUUGAGGAAGGUGGCUUGAGAUUCGUCUUAAGUGUUUAUAGCCUCUUGCCUAUGCAGUCGGAGAGAUUGAGGUCUGCAGCGUAGAUCCUUCGGGGCUAAAUGCAUUUGUGCUAAGUUAUAGCAUUUUAUAGACAACUUGUUGACUAUGAUUUGUCUUGUAGCUUACUCGCUUAUGUUAUUUUACCUACGCUUAGGAUGUUGAAGUCAUCGUAUCGCGC